GAUGAACGCUGGCGGCGUGCUUAACACAUGCAAGUCGAACGGUGAAGGCGGAGCUUGCUCUGCUGGAUCAGUGGCGAACGGGUGAGUAACACGUGAGCAAUCUGCCCCUGACUCUGGGAUAAGCGCUGGAAACGGCGUCUAAUACUGGAUACGAGCUGCGAAGGCAUCUUCAGCAGCUGGAAAGAACUUCGGUCAGGGAUGAGCUCGCGGCCUAUCAGCUUGUUGGUGAGGUAACGGCUCACCAAGGCGUCGACGGGUAGCCGGCCUGAGAGGGUGACCGGCCACACUGGGACUGAGACACGGCCCAGACUCCUACGGGAGGCAGCAGUGGGGAAUAUUGCACAAUGGGCGAAAGCCUAAUGCAGCAACGCCGCGUGAGGGACGACGGCCUUCGGGUUGUAAACCUCUUUUAGCAGGGAAGAAGCGAAAGUGACGGUACCUGCAGAAAAAGCGCCGGCUAACUACGUG
RNAcentral lists this ribosomal RNA (468 nucleotides) under uncultured bacterium. Its description in RNAcentral is "partial 16S ribosomal RNA". It matches the Rfam family "Bacterial small subunit ribosomal RNA", at positions 28 to 507 of the family's 1533-position model. The record is from RNAcentral.